Long non-coding RNA from Manis pentadactyla (Chinese pangolin), 558 nucleotides. RefSeq lists it as uncharacterized. The record is from RefSeq and is a predicted model, not a curated record. The transcript has 2 exons. NCBI's taxonomy places the organism in Eukaryota, Metazoa, Chordata, Mammalia, Pholidota, Manidae.
GAUGAGUGCAGGCUGUUUAAGGACGCGCUUGUCAUCAGUAGCCUGGCUCUUUCUCCCACUGCAGGCCAACAGCAGAGUGUAGGAUCACAGUUUAUUGAGAAGUGGAAAUGAGAGAAAGGAACAAGAAUCCAUAUUGAUUAGAAAAGAAGAAGUCCAGCUCUGGGAAGGGCACUGGACGUAAAGGACGUCCGAGUAGCCAAGCCCUGGUUAAUCCAAGGGUAUACCUUCCUUUUCUCAUCACCCAGAUCAUUCACACUGGGGCAAGCAAACCGCCAUGUUGCCAGCAGCUCUAUAGAAAGGCCCACGUGGCGUGGCGAGGAAUUGAGACCCUCAGCCCAAGAGCCUAUGAGGAACUGAGGCUUGCCAGCUUCCCCAUGACUAAGCUUAGGAGGGGAUCCUUCACUCCAGCUGAGUCCUGAAAUGCCUGCAUCCCCAGCAGACAGCUUUAUUGCAGCAUUACGAGAGACCCUGAGCAGGCAUCUCUCAGCUCAGCUGCACCUGGAUCCCUGGCUCACAGAACUGUGAGAUAAUAAAGGUUUGUUGUUUUAAGCUGCUAAA